GAAAGGGAGGGCAAAAGUGCAUCGAAAAGAUGAUUACUUGGUUCUCUCUUCCUAUUCUUUCGGUAACGUUACGAGGGGGAUUUCGGUUCCUUUCGCAUUCGUUCCGAAUCGUUUACUUUGAAAAAAUUAGAGUGUUCAAAGCAGGCGUAACUUUGCCUUUGAAUACAUUAGCAUGGGAUAAUAAAAUAUGACUUUGGUCUUAAUUUUGUUGGUUUCUAGGGCUGGGGUA
Molecule: ribosomal RNA, 229 nt
Filed under: uncultured fungus
Lineage: Eukaryota; Fungi
Description: partial small subunit ribosomal RNA
Rfam family: Eukaryotic small subunit ribosomal RNA (bases 102-229)
Source: RNAcentral